This 402-nucleotide ribosomal RNA is filed under the name uncultured bacterium. Its description in RNAcentral is "bacterial SSU rRNA". It matches the Rfam family "Bacterial small subunit ribosomal RNA", at positions 355 to 774 of the family's 1533-position model. The record is from RNAcentral.
UGGGGAAUCUUGCACAAUGGGGGAAACCCUGAUGCAGCGACGCCGCGUGAACGAUGAAGCCCUUCGGGGUGUAAAGUUCUUUCGACAGGAACGAUAAUGACGGUACCUGGAGAAGGAGCUGCGGCUAACUACGUGCCAGCAGCCGCGGUAAUACGUAGGCAGCGAGCGUUGUUCGGAGUUACUGGGCGUAAAGAGUGCGUAGGCGGCGAGCCAAGUUUGGUGUGAAAUCUCCCGGCUUAACCGGGAGGGUGCGCCGAAAACUGGUUGGCUGGAGUAUGGGAGAGGAAAGCGGAAUUCCUGGUGUAGCGGUGAAAUGCGUAGAUAUCAGGAGGAACACCUGCGGUGUAGACAGCUUUCUGGACCAAAACUGACGCUGAGGCACGAAAGCGUGGGUAGCAAACA